RNAcentral lists this long non-coding RNA (549 nucleotides) under Olea europaea (common olive). Its description in RNAcentral is "long non-coding RNA (OEUR_LNC000960)". The record is from RNAcentral. Lineage: Eukaryota; Viridiplantae; Streptophyta; Magnoliopsida; Lamiales; Oleaceae.
AAUUGUGACUUAAUCUCAUUGAAUUCAUGCAAUGUAGGUGUUUCUAUGGAAAUAGUGGAAUUCAGGAGAAGAGAGCCGAAAAAGGACUAAAAUGAAGCAAAGUGAUAGUUCAGGGACAAAGGAUGCAAAUAUUCGAAAGUUGAACUAAAAGACAACUCGGGAAUGCAAAUAUGCUAAGUAUGAACUCGAAAGCAAUACAAGAUGAUUGGAAGAAGAAGGAAUUGCAAAGGGACUAAAAUGAAUUAAACUGAAAGUUCGGGGACCAAGUUGCAAAUAAUUCAUAGAUGAGACGGGAAAUGGAAUGAAGAUUCAAGAGUGUUAGAGGUCAAUCGGAUGAGGAAAGGAGUCACGAGGUGAAAUAGGGUCGAAGUAUUAUCAAGUAUCAACUUUCAGGCGAAAAAGCUAUGCUCGUGAUUUUUAGUAUGUACUUGAGAUCCAUUUUUGACAUAGUAAACAUCAGAAUUUGAGGAAGCCUAUUUCUAUCAAAAGUGUAGAUCUUUGAGUUUUCUUCACAAUUCACUUUGAAUCACUUCAAUUGGAGAUCAGGAG